This 1062-nucleotide long non-coding RNA is filed under the name Zonotrichia albicollis (white-throated sparrow). RNAcentral's name for it is "lncRNA (ENSZALG00000013826.1)". The record is from RNAcentral. Lineage: Eukaryota; Metazoa; Chordata; Aves; Passeriformes; Passerellidae.
CUAUAUGUAAAACUGUCAAGAUCUCCAUGACAAAAAUAGCCAAACAUCUGCUCACCUAAGUUAUACAAAGAACUCAUUUUUGUUCUGGAUAAUUCCUUGUUGAGGAAUUAAGUGGUAAGAAUUAGUACUUGUUCUGCCAGAACACCUUGUAAUUAUCUAUGUAAGACAUCAGAUGUACAUGAGUAGUUUUAGAUAAGACCUGGUAUCUGUGGUCUUUAUGUUAAAAAAAGGCCUUUUUUAAGCUGCCUUUUUUUGUAAGUUUGUUUUUUUUUUUUAAUUUCUUUUCCACAGGCUCUAUUACUUAAAGAAAGAAGCACUUUAAUAAAGCAUGGAGGAUUUGUACAUAUGGGCCUCACCCAUGCAAAACUCUUCUUAAUACAUCCCAUAUAAAACUCAAGAUGAAAAGUUCUAGGCAGGUUUAUGAGACACUUAAGUGACCAUCCACACUUUUGACCUGGACCUAUGGAUACAAAGGAGAUGGAGUUUGCUGCAGACAAGAGAUUUUAUCCUGCAAAGAGCUAUCAAAACCUAGUUUAUUCCUCCCAGCAAGCCCACCUGCUUGUAAAACGAGUCUCUUGGCUCUCUAUACAAGUUUUCCAUCUUUACUGUCUUGAACUAACCAAUGGUUGAUUGGAUCAGUCAGAUGGAACAAUGAGAGAGCACAAGGUAAAAUAAUGAAUAACGAAAUGGUUUGAAUAGGAAGAAGGUUUAAUUUUGAAUGGUUACUUCCCUGUCCUUGUAACACAAAGCAAAUAUUUGAAGAUGUUUAAUUGUAGCAAACUGCUAAAUAAUAUCCAAAGAGCUCUUCAUCUACCAUGCUGUCAGACUGUGGAAGUCAUUGUCCAAGAAGUUGUUAAAGAUCAGAACACAUCAAGAUUAAAAUAGUUUAAAACACUUUAUGUUUGAUAUAUUUGGGCAGACCUCAUGUAUGAAAUAUGCCUUAUAAUGCUUCCCUCUCCUCAGUCAUUUACUGGAGUUGCUCUAAAAAGACCAGGCACCUGGCAGACCAAAUUAAACAUAUCUGCUUUGUCUCUACAGGCUGAAAAAGAGGUAAGAAUUAAA